UACAGAGGUCCCGAGCGUUGUUCGGAUUCAUUGGGCGUAAAGGGUGCGUAGGCGGCGGGGCAAGUCUGAUGUGAAAUCUCACAGCUUAACUGUGAAACUGCAUUGGAUACUAUCCGGCUCGAGGAAUGGAGGGGAGACUGGAAUACUUGGUGUAGCAGUGAAAUGCGUAGAUAUCAAGUGGAACACCAGUGGCGAAGGCGAGUCUCUGGACAUUUCCUGACGCUGAGGCACGAAAGCCAGGGGAGCAAACGGG
Molecule: ribosomal RNA, 253 nt
Filed under: uncultured bacterium
Lineage: Bacteria
Description: partial 16S ribosomal RNA
Rfam family: Bacterial small subunit ribosomal RNA
Source: RNAcentral